This 27-nucleotide non-coding RNA is filed under the name Mus musculus (house mouse). Lineage: Eukaryota; Metazoa; Chordata; Mammalia; Rodentia; Muridae. The record is from RNAcentral.
UGCCUCACAGGCUAAAUUCCUGCUCAG